RNAcentral lists this long non-coding RNA (255 nucleotides) under Brassica napus (rape). RNAcentral describes it as "long non-coding RNA (BNAP_LNC020569)". Lineage: Eukaryota; Viridiplantae; Streptophyta; Magnoliopsida; Brassicales; Brassicaceae. The record is from RNAcentral.
CAGAAAUCAUGUAAUUUCAAUAAGAGUAACACAAUAUUACUAAAACAAAAUGAAAGAAACAACAGUAGCACUCCCUGAAAAUUGGAGACACAAACUUGGCUAAAAAGCCAUACAAAAAAUAGAGUCAUUGACGAACGAUAUAUAUUUUUUUAUGGUUGAUAAAGAUUCAGGUUCAACAUGAAAAAUAAUUAUUUUCUUCUAUGUUUUUGAUAUAACAAACUUUCAAAUAUUAGUAGAUUUAUUCAAAACUCUCAA